UGCGUAGGUGGUCAGGUAAGUCGGAUGUGAAAGCUCGGAGCUCAACUCCGAAAUGGCAUUGGAAACUACCUGGCUCGAGGGUUGGAGGGGGGACUGGAAUGCUUGGUGUAGCAGUGAAAUGCGUAGAUAUCAAGCGGAACACCAGUGGCGAAGGCGAGUCCCUGGACAACUCCUGACACUGAGGCACGAAAGCUAGGGGAGCAAACA
This 207-nucleotide ribosomal RNA is filed under the name uncultured bacterium. RNAcentral's name for it is "partial 16S ribosomal RNA". It matches the Rfam family "Bacterial small subunit ribosomal RNA", at positions 568 to 774 of the family's 1533-position model. The record is from RNAcentral.